Molecule: ribosomal RNA, 254 nt
Filed under: uncultured bacterium
Lineage: Bacteria
Description: partial 16S ribosomal RNA
Rfam family: Bacterial small subunit ribosomal RNA
Source: RNAcentral
UACGGGGGGAGCAAGCGUUGUUCGGAUUUACUGGGCGUAAAGGGCGCGUAGGCGGCCACCGCAGGUCGAUUGUGAAAUCUCCGGGCUUAACCCGGAAAGGUCAACCGAUACUGCGGGGCUAGAGUGCAGAAGGGGCAACUGGAAUUCUCGGUGUAGCGGUGAAAUGCGUAGAUAUCGAGAGGAACACCUGCGGCGAAGGCGGGUUGCUGGGCUGACACUGACGCUGAGGCGCGAAAGCUAGGGGAGCGAACGGG